This 238-nucleotide long non-coding RNA is filed under the name Mytilus galloprovincialis (Mediterranean mussel). Lineage: Eukaryota; Metazoa; Mollusca; Bivalvia; Mytilida; Mytilidae. The record is from RNAcentral.
AGCACGGAGCCACACCAUUAUUGUAUGCUGUUUACGAUGGGCACCUAGAUAUAGUCCGUUAUCUUGUAGAAGUCGGCUGUGAAAAAGAAGGAAGUGACAAGGUGAUUAUAGAUAUUGGCUCCUCAUUCUGAUCAUAUUUCUGUUGAUAUUGAAUCAUUAAAAAAUCAGGUUGUUAUUCAGACAGGUUUAAUGGACAACACAUACUUGUUAGAAUUAAAAUAAAUGGUUAUCAUUUGUU